CAAUAGCGUAUAUUAAAGUUGUUGCGGUUAAAAAGCUCGUAGUUGGAUUUCUGCUGAGAACGACCGGUCCGCCCUUUGGGUGUGUAUCUGGCUCUUUCUUGGCAUCUUCUUGGUGAACGUUGCUGCACUUGACUGUGUGGAGCGCUACCCAGGACUUUUACUUUGAGGAAAUUAGAGUGUUUCAAGCAGGCAUACGCCUUGAAUACAUUAGCAUGGAAUAAUAAGAUAGGACCUCGGUUCUAUUUUGUUGGUUUCUAGAGCUGAGGUAAUGAUUAAUAGGGAUAGUUGGGGGCAUUCGUAUUUAACUGUCAGAGGUGAAAUUCUUGGAUUUGUUAAAGUCGGACUACUGCGAAAGCAUUUGCCAAGGAUGUUUUCAUUG
RNAcentral lists this ribosomal RNA (379 nucleotides) under uncultured eukaryote. RNAcentral's name for it is "partial 18S ribosomal RNA". It matches the Rfam family "Eukaryotic small subunit ribosomal RNA", at positions 592 to 975 of the family's 1831-position model. The record is from RNAcentral.